UGCGAACUCCUACGGGAGGCAGCAGUGAGGAAUAUUGGUCAAUGGUCGGAAGACUGAACCAGCCAUGCCGCGUGCAGGAAGAAUGCCUUAUGGGUUGUAAACUGCUUUUAUAUGGGAAGAAUAAGGUGUACGUGUACAUUGAUGACGGUACCAUAUGAAUAAGCAUCGGCUAACUCCGUGCCAGCAGCCGCGGUAAUACGGAGGAUGCGAGCGUUAUUCGGAAUCAUUGGGUUUAAAGGGUCUGUAGGCGGGCUAUUAAGUCAGGGGUGAAAGGUUUCAGCUUAACUGAGAAAUUGCCUUUGAUACUGGUAGUCUUGAAUAUCUGUGAAGUUCUUGGAAUGUGUAGUGUAGCGGUGAAAUGCUUAGAUAUUACACAGAACACCGAUUGCGGAGGCAGGGGACUAACAGACGAUUGACGCUGAGAGACGAAAGCGUGGGGAGCGAACAGGAUUAGAUACCCUUGUAGUCCU
This 470-nucleotide ribosomal RNA is filed under the name uncultured bacterium. RNAcentral's name for it is "bacterial SSU rRNA". It matches the Rfam family "Bacterial small subunit ribosomal RNA", at positions 330 to 797 of the family's 1533-position model. The record is from RNAcentral.